Molecule: ribosomal RNA, 710 nt
Filed under: Thinophilus sp. 7 SNK-2009
Lineage: Eukaryota; Metazoa; Arthropoda; Insecta; Diptera; Dolichopodidae
Description: partial 12S ribosomal RNA
Rfam family: Microsporidia small subunit ribosomal RNA (bases 1-468)
Source: RNAcentral
UUAAACUAGGAUUAGAUACCCUAUUAUUUAAGAUGUAAGUGAUUAAUAUUAGAGUAGUAAUAGAUAAGAUCUUGAAACUCAAAAAAUUUGGCGGUAAUUUAGACUAUUCAGAGGAACCUGUGAUGUAAUUGAUAAUCCACGUUGGACCUUACUUAAGUUUGUUUUUCAGUUUGUAUACCGCCGUUAUUAGAAAAUUUUUUAAGAAGAAUAAUUUUCAUAAUUUUAUAUAAAAAAGUAAAUCAGGUCAAGGUGCAGCUUAUACUUAAGUUUUACAUGGGUUACAAUAAAUUUAUUUAAACGGAUAAGUAUUUGAAAUUAUAUUUUGAAGGCGGAUUUGGUAGUAAAUUUUUAAAGAUAGAAAUGUUGACUUUAGCUCUAGAUUAUGCACACAUCGCCCGUCRCUCUUGUUAAUAAUAUAAGAUAAGUCGUAACAUAGUAGAUGUACCGGAAGGUGCCUCUAGAAUGACAAUUUAAAGCUUGUUAAGUAAAGUAUUUCAUUUACACUGAAAAGAUUAUUGUGCAAAUCAAUAUAAAUUGAUAAUAUAUAAUUAUUAAAUUAUUUUGUUUAUGAAAUAAGCAUUAUUAGAAAUAACUGUAUUUAUUAUUGUUAUAGUAUUUUUUAAAGAAAUAAUUAUUAUUAUUAUAGAAAAUUAGUAAUUUUUAUGAAUUUUGAAAUAAUUGAAAAAUAUAUAGUUAUGUAUAUAUAUAUA